Molecule: transfer RNA, 73 nt
Filed under: Paramuricea clavata
Lineage: Eukaryota; Metazoa; Cnidaria; Anthozoa; Malacalcyonacea; Plexauridae
Rfam family: tRNA
About the family: Transfer RNA (tRNA) molecules are approximately 80 nucleotides in length. Their secondary structure includes four short double-helical elements and three loops (D, anti-codon, and T loops).
Source: Rfam by way of RNAcentral
GACCACGUAGCUCAGCUGGCAGAGCAUUGGGCUAGUAUUCCAAAGGUCGUAGGUUCGAUUCCCACCGUGGCCA